GCCUGGCUAGCUCAAUCGGUAGAGCGUGAGACUCUUAUUCAGAGGUGAUCUCAAGGCUGUGGGUUCAAGCCCCACGUCGGGCU
This 83-nucleotide transfer RNA is filed under the name Yarrowia lipolytica. It matches the Rfam family "tRNA". Rfam says of the family: Transfer RNA (tRNA) molecules are approximately 80 nucleotides in length. Their secondary structure includes four short double-helical elements and three loops (D, anti-codon, and T loops). RNAcentral also lists the same sequence under 1 other name. Lineage: Eukaryota; Fungi; Ascomycota; Dipodascomycetes; Dipodascales. The record is from Rfam by way of RNAcentral.